This 2283-nucleotide long non-coding RNA is filed under the name Sinocyclocheilus anshuiensis. Its description in RNAcentral is "lncRNA (ENSSANG00000045497.1)". Lineage: Eukaryota; Metazoa; Chordata; Actinopteri; Cypriniformes; Cyprinidae. The record is from RNAcentral.
ACAGCGCUUCAAAAUAAAACGCCACUUCAAAAUAAAAGUCCCUUCAUAACAACACUACGCCACAAAAAAAAAACAUUUCAAUUACUUUUAAAUUUAGAUCUUUCUUUAAAUCGUGCAGGAACAACAGAUUCCGAGUAAGCAAUCCAGGUGCAUCUUGUUAAGACCGAUAAAUAUAAUUAACUUGCUCGUGUAAUUAAUUAGGACUAAUUACUAAUGAAUAUAAUUAAGAUCGACCGCUUCCGGAUUGACCGUUUUACAAACAAAACUAAAAAUGGCGUCAGUUACAGAAAACACAGAUGAAUCAAACACCCAAAUAAAAGAUAUUCCUGCAGAUCAGUGCCCUUCUGUGAGACAACUGGAGGCUCUUGAUGGGAAAAUCUCUGACAGACUAGAACAGAUCGAGCUCUGCACCAUGAUCCUGAAUGACCUGCUGGAAAUGCAGAAAAUAGUCGCUGAAAGAUGCCUUGAAAAUGCAUCACUUUGAGGACUGGAUAACUGAACCGUUUCCUUUCAGUAUUAGAAAUCUACAAGUAUGCAUAUAUAAAUAAAAUCUUAUUGUGACAAUGUGAUAGAGCAAUUUCUUUCUGAAACAAGUCAAAUAAUGUAACAACUCGGACAGGAUUUUACUGGUAUUGUAUUGCUUUUUGAUUCAAAAAGUUAUUACUUUGCCAUAAUACUUUAUACAAAACAAGCAUAUGAGAAAUUUCACAUUAUACAUUCUUUAAAAAUACAGAUCUUUACAGUUUCCUCACACUUUGGGUAUCAAAAGCAGUCCUUGUGGAAGCAUUUGUUUCCUCUUUACCUCAAGCUUCUGCGACUCCACUAACAUGCCAGACCAACUUCUCCUGUCUAGUGUCCUUGAUGCUGCCUGAACCCGAAGAAAUCCAGAAUAAGGAAAAGCAAUAGUUUAUUAAGCUAGUUUGUUGCAUUAAAUCAUAAGUUAAUGCCUUAAAAAGUCCCAUGUGUGAAUGAAAACGUAAUGAUGAUGGCACCUGAUGAAGGUGGAAUAAUAAUAAUAAUUAAAAAAAAACAUUGUAGGCUGUCAGUCGAUCUUGAGCAAGAACACAACCAGAAGGGUUGACAGUCAAGCAAGUAGUUCUUUCACCAGUAUUUUUCCAACAAUAAAACAAAUGCAAGAUUUUCAUGUCAUGUGGGGGUCAAUAAAAAAAAAAAUACAUUGAAGCAGCAAUAAUUUUCAACAGGAAAAAUAUACAUAUACACAUAUAACAUUGCAAUGCCCAGAUACAAAACAAAACAGAUGAAGUCACACCAAACAUAACUGUACACAACAAACAUUGAGACUUAAGAAAAAAAAAAGGCUUUUAAAUUUGAAAUACUCAAUGCAAUAGGACACGGCUGUUUCUCUAAAUGAUGACUUGCAUACUAAAAUGACCACUGAAUGCUAACACGCACGAUAUUUUGCUUAUGAACAUGUACAGAUGGAGUGAUUUUAUGUUUUUUCUAUAUGCUCCAUGACAUUGCAUAGUUGCUUAUUUUUGUUAGGUGAUGAAUAAUAACUGCCUUCAAUCAAAAUGAAUAUUUCAUGUAAAGUAACUUGUCAAAACUAGAGUCCUAUGCGAAAUAUGCGAACAAAACAAGGCCGGAAAGCAUGUGCAUUAUUAUAAUUAUUAAGGUACGGUUGAUCAUUAUAUUGGCUGGACCCCAAAGUAAGUGCAUUUAUUAGGGAAAAACUGUGUCGUUCAGACAGAUCGCAUUAUAAUGUUCUAGUACUAGGUUUGCACAGGUCCCAUUAAUAGAUAUUUAAAAAGAAAAUGUAGUGGAUAAAUAACAAAGCAACUGAUUAACAUUUUGGGAGCGACGUACACAGAGCUACCAGCGCAAUGAAGCAUCACUGUCAGUUCACCGUUUAAUUUGGCACUGGAUAGGAAAAGACUCGCUCGGUAAUAUCUAUCCGAUUCAAAUUCUCCAUAUCUAGUCCAUGCUGAAAUGAAAUAACUAUCACGAGUUGUAAGGCAAUUCUUGUCCUACUUGAGUCUGAAACACAAGGAUCUGCGGAGAACUACAUACUGCAUAAGAGAUGCACAGGUGACAGUAAAGGCAGUGCAGAGUCACGUCUCUCAUCUCAUCUCACACCCAAAGUCUGAUUUCUCAUAGUUCUAUACAAAAAUACAAAUACAAUCUAAAGGCUUAAACAUUUAUCAUCUCAAAUGUACUAUGUAUUUACAUGACGGUCAUCUCUUUAGAACCUCUAUACAGCAGUGGUAUAUAAAUGAGGGGCAAACGAGCGGCGUUGAACCGUGGCUGGGUAGUGCACUACAAGCA